CCAAAGUCAAAAAACCCCAAAUAGUGAAAACCCUUCCAUCCACUUCACGACGAGCUUCCUUCUUUGCAAUUCCGAGCCACUGUUCAAGUUUGUAAUUACAUAUUAGUCUUACUGCUCUAACUCAAUUUGGUUCUCUAAGAAGGAAUGCAAGCUUCAAGACUAUCUAGAAGAAAUUAAGAAAAUUGAGCAAGUUGAAGAAGAAUGUCCAGGUGACCCUUUGAGUAUUGAUUAGUUUAGAACUUCAGUUAAACAAAAUAGUGUCAACCUAUUCAUGGUGCUUGGCUGCUUGC
Nicotiana tabacum (common tobacco) is the source of this 290-nucleotide non-coding RNA. NCBI's taxonomy places the organism in Eukaryota, Viridiplantae, Streptophyta, Magnoliopsida, Solanales, Solanaceae. The record is from RefSeq and is a predicted model, not a curated record.